Molecule: ribosomal RNA, 412 nt
Filed under: uncultured bacterium
Lineage: Bacteria
Description: bacterial SSU rRNA
Rfam family: Bacterial small subunit ribosomal RNA
Source: RNAcentral
UCGAGGAUCUUCGGCAAUGGGCGCAAGCCUGACCGAGCGACGCCGCGUGUGCGAUGAAGGCCUUCGGGUUGUAAAGCACUGUCGAGGGGGAGGAAAGCCGCAAGGCUUGACCUAUCCCUGGAGGAAGCACGGGCUAAGUUCGUGCCAGCAGCCGCGGUAAGACGAACCGUGCGAACGUUGUUCGGAUUCACUGGGCUUAAAGGGCGCGUAGGCGGGUGACCAAGUCCGGGGUGAAAUCUUCCGGCCCAACUGGAAAAGUGCCUUGGAUACUGGUCGCCUGGAGGGAGGUAGGGGCACGCGGAACUCCAGGUGGAGCGGUGAAAUGCGUAGAUAUCUGGAGGAACGCCGGUGGCGAAAGCGGCGUGCUGGACCUCUUCUGACGCUGAGGCGCGAAAGCCAGGGGAGCAAACGG